GGUGUUCGUCUUCUCUGGCUUCCUCAGGUUCGUCUCCUGGUCUCUCAGGUUGCGGGGUACACUGGGGGUACCAAGGGCAUACGGGGGGCCAUGAUGCGUCAUAGUAUGGAGUGCACACUGGGGGGUAUGAUGGGUGGUAGAACGGAGGGCACACGGGGCAGCACGGAGGCAGAGGCGGAUUCGAUGGCAGAGGAGAAGGCCAAGGUAGAGGUGUAGAUGGAGCCAUCGGCAGAGGCAAAGAUGGAGUCAGAGUCAGAGGCGGAGGCGAAUUCGGAGGCAGAGGCGUAGAUGGAGCCAUCGGAGGUGGCGGAGGUGGAGUCAUCGGCGGAGGCGG
RNAcentral lists this long non-coding RNA (334 nucleotides) under Sorghum bicolor (sorghum). Its description in RNAcentral is "long non-coding RNA (SBIC_LNC014987)". Lineage: Eukaryota; Viridiplantae; Streptophyta; Magnoliopsida; Poales; Poaceae. The record is from RNAcentral.